ACUCCUACGGGAGGCAGCAGUGGGAAUCUUGGACAAUGGGGCACCCGUAGCAUCCAGCCAUGCCGCGUGAGUGAUGAAGGCCCUAGGGUCGUAAAGCUCUUUCGCCUGUGAAGAUAAUGACUGUAGCAGGUAAAGAAACCCGCGAUCAUCCGUGCCAGCAGCCGCGGUAAUACGGAGGGGGUUAGCGUUGUUCGGAAUUACUGGGCGUAAAGCGCGCGUA
Molecule: ribosomal RNA, 220 nt
Filed under: uncultured bacterium
Lineage: Bacteria
Description: partial 16S ribosomal RNA
Rfam family: Bacterial small subunit ribosomal RNA
Source: RNAcentral